This 77-nucleotide transfer RNA is filed under the name Blastochloris viridis. RNAcentral's name for it is "tRNA-Met". It matches the Rfam family "tRNA". From Rfam's summary of the family: Transfer RNA (tRNA) molecules are approximately 80 nucleotides in length. Lineage: Bacteria; Pseudomonadati; Pseudomonadota; Alphaproteobacteria; Hyphomicrobiales; Blastochloridaceae. The record is from RNAcentral.
GGCGCUUUAGCUCAGUCGGUUAGAGCAACGGAAUCAUAAUCCGUGUGUCCUGUGUUCGAGUCACAGAAGCGCCACCA